GCUCUGCAGAGGGACCUGGAGCUGCAGGCGGCCUCCAGCCGGGAACUCAUCCGGAAGUACUUCUGCAGCCGAAUCCAGCAGCAGGCAGAAACCACCUCUGAGGAGCUGGGGGCUGUGACAGUCAAGGCCUCCUACCGCGCCUCUGAGCAGAAGCUGCGUGUGGAGCUGCUCAGCGCCUCCAGCCUGCUGCCCCUGGACUCCAAUGGCUCCAGCGACCCCUUUGUCCAGCUGACCUUGGAGCCCAGGCAUGAGUUCCCUGAGCUGGCGGCCCGGGAGACCCAGAAGCACAAGAAGGACCUUCACCCAUUGUUUGAUGAGACCUUUGAAUUGUGAGUGGGUCCCGUUCUUCUCCUAGUCCCUCCCCUCAUCUCCCCCCACUGGGCUCCCUCAGGCCUGCUCCUCCUGGCUGGGGCCAAGGGGCUCCCCUGAGAUGGCCACAUUUGGGCCCAAGGGAUGGGGCACCUGGGACAAGAGUUUGCAGCUGGAUGUGGUGGCUCACACCUGUCAUCACAGCACUUUGGGAGGCCGAGGCAGGUGGAUCACUUGAGGUCAGGAGUUCAAGACCAGCCUGGCCAACAGUCUCUACUAAAAAUACAAAAUUAGCCAGGCAUGAUGGUGGGCACCUGUAAUCCCAGCUACUUGGGAGGCUGAGGCAGGAGAAUUGCUUAACCCAGGAGGCAGAGGCUGCUGAGAUG
This 695-nucleotide small RNA is filed under the name Pan troglodytes (chimpanzee). RNAcentral's name for it is "retained intron". Lineage: Eukaryota; Metazoa; Chordata; Mammalia; Primates; Hominidae. The record is from RNAcentral.